GACGAACGCUGGCGGCGUGCUUAACACAUGCAAGUCGAACGGUAAGGCCCUUCGGGGUACACGAGUGGCGAACGGGUGAGUAACACGUGGGUGAUCUGCCCUGCACUUCGGGAUAAGCCUGGGAAACUGGGUCUAAUACCGGAUAGGACCACUGCCUGCAUGGGUGGUGGUGAAAAGCUUUUGCGGUGUGGGAUGGGCCCGCGGCCUAUCAGCUUGUUGGUGGGGUGAUGGCCUACCAAGGCGACAACGGGUAGCCGGCCUGAGAGGGUGACCGGCCGCACUGGGCCUGAGAUACGGCCCAGACUCCUACGGGAGGCAGCAGUGGGGAAUAUUGCACAAUGGGCGCAAGCCUGAUGCAGCGACGCCGCGUGAGGGAUGACGGCCUUCGGGUUGUAAACCUCUUUCAGCACCGACGAAGCGCAAGUGACGGUAGGUGCAGAAGAAGGACCGGCCAACUACGUGCCAGCCGCCGCUGUAA
RNAcentral lists this ribosomal RNA (478 nucleotides) under uncultured bacterium. Its description in RNAcentral is "partial 16S ribosomal RNA". It matches the Rfam family "Bacterial small subunit ribosomal RNA", at positions 28 to 523 of the family's 1533-position model. The record is from RNAcentral.